AUUAAGGUGGCAGAGCCAGGUAAGUGCAAAAGACCUAAGAUCUUUCUUACAGAUGUUCAAAUCAUCUCCUUAAUC
RNAcentral lists this transfer RNA (75 nucleotides) under Ablepharus himalayanus (Himalaya ground skink). Its description in RNAcentral is "tRNA-Leu". The record is from RNAcentral. Lineage: Eukaryota; Metazoa; Chordata; Lepidosauria; Squamata; Scincidae.